Molecule: unclassified non-coding RNA, 3719 nt
Filed under: Leishmania donovani
Lineage: Eukaryota; Euglenozoa; Kinetoplastea; Trypanosomatida; Trypanosomatidae
Description: gene:LdHU3.02.0480(CDS-product:Mitochondrial_prot ein_81)
Source: RNAcentral
GAGAUCAAUGCUGCCGAUCCGACGCUCUUCGCGUCCCUCGCUGACGUCGCUGCCGGUGUGCGGCCGGUGGCGCCACGGUGUGCACCCGGUCCGCUCGGCAUUUGUGCACACUGCCGUCCUUCGACAAGCCAGCACACCAUCGACUCGUCCCUCGGGCACCGCCAACGGCGGCUUUGGCAGUAGCGGCGUCCGUGACGGCAGUGCACCAGCUCCUCCUAGCAGAGGCGACGGUGCUGCGGUGGCGCCGCAGCCGCCGUCGCCGCAGGGCGUGAGCCCCGAGCUCUGCUUCUACGAGACGUUCAUCUUGUCCGAUGUCGACGUGCAUCUUACCCUCCUCGAGGAGGCGCACUACAAACACGGCGUGUGGCUCAACGUGCCACCGCAGCUCGCGCCCUCCGUCCCAAACGUCGGCCCACCCGCCGUGCCGGAGCCCAUCUACCCAUCGGCACAGCGGGAGCGACUAGCGGCCAUGACGGCGGCCAUGACGGCAGUGCAGAACAAGCGCGGCCGAGGCGCCAGCGGCGGCGGCUGCGCGACGGAUGCGGAGCUCAUAGUAGAGCCGUCGUGCCUUGCCUACCGCCCCACCCACGACCCGCCGCCCUUCUCCACGACUGGCACGCGCUCGCUAAGGAUUCCAGAGCAAAGGCGGGCGGCAGCAGAAGCAGCCGCCCCGAGCACAAGCGACGCCGUCUCCCGUGUGUCUCCACCUGCACCGUCUUCCGUGACAGCGUCAGCGGCAGAGGCGAGCUUCGCGGAAGGCACCACCACCACUACCACACGCAGCAUGCAUGCGGAAGUACAGACAGUUGCCAUACGCAUGCCGGUGGUCCCGUCAAUGCUGUACCACUGCAGUGCGUGCAGUCGCCCGUUUAGGCGACGCCAGGCCGCAGAGGAGCACGUGCAGCAGCGCCACGAGUCGCGCGGCAACUGCAGCGGCGCUAGCGCCGCUGCAGUUGUGAUGGAGGGCCCGGGGCCUGGUGAGAUCAUCGGAUACGAGGAGAAGGCCGUCGCCGUGGCGACCACCAAGACGGCCGCUGCAGCCCGCGUGACAAGUCCUUUGCCAAUGAAAGCGGCGGCGAAGGCGAAGGGGAUGGAGGCGAGCGCUGAAGUCGCGACCACCAAGGGCGUCGCCGGCGCCUCAAGUGCUGUCAAGCCCUCCGCCUUUUAUCUCGCUGCUAACUACCGCGCGACACUGCGAGUUGACCUCCCGGAGGACGAUCUUAUCGACGAACUCCUCGAUGUCGUCUGGGACGACGUGGCGCUGGCGCGAGACGACAUCGCGAAGCCAUCUGAUCUUCCCACAACACGAGCCGAUCUCCCGCAACACCCGAAGCGGAGCUACGAUAGCUGCCAAGGCCGUUUUUUCAUCCCCAGUGUGCUCAUCGUGGAGGGCGUCGCCGACAACCGCGCUCAGCUGGAGGCGGCGGCGGAGCGGGCCGUUGUGCGAGCCACGCCAGAUGGCGCCGCGCCAGGCAUCAAGCGUCGGCCUUCGUCUGCGAUGUCGGUGUUUUUGCCAUCCACGAUGGCUCCCCGCCUGCUCCCAACGCAGCGGCGCAACGCCGACGGCACGCUCGGUGCUGGCGGCGCCGAUGCCGAUGCCGCCGGCGGCGGCAUCGGCGGUGGGGCUCUUGGGGCGGCGCCGACCGCGCAGGAGUUGUCUGUAGCGGAGCUCAGCCGCCACUACCCGAACCCGUUCGGUGACAGCCCAAACGCUGUGCUGAUGGAGUCGGAAAAGGAGCCAAUCAACCCCUUCGUGGACCUCGAGGGUCAGGCGGCUGCGGUGGCCGCCACGGCCCAUUCGGGUGCGGCGGACGGUAGCACCGCUGACGACGCUGUCUCUUCCCCGGCCACGAAGGAGAUGGAGUGGCUGUCGCGGUGGGCAGCGAGGCCGUACGCGUGUCCGCUGUGCCAACGACGCGCCUUGCCAGACUUGAUGAAGAUCAUGGCACCCCUGCUGCCCCCGUCAUUAGUGGCAGGCAGCGAGGCAACCGCCUCCGCGGCGUCGACUGCUGUUGUAUACGGUGACGGUCAAGGAGCUAGCCCGCACCUGGGGUCUGGUACGAAGCGGGCCGCUUCUACUGCUGCAGGGGAGACGACGGCUGCGACUGCAGGUGCCUCCACGUCGAGGCCAGCACGUUGUGUGCCGCCCUCAGGCUCCCUCGAGGACCAACCCUUGGUUGCGGAUGUUGAGGCGUGGAGCUGGUACGCCGAUCGGGUGCCGCGCUUCCGACUACUGGACUCCCUCGAAGACCACUUGCAGUCGAAGCACGCCGGCUACUGCGGCGGGAAUGACGAGGCAGCGGCUGCACUCGACGGUGACGAUGGCUGCACUGGCAGAGACGGGGACGACAGCCUCUCCGAGGCGGACUGGCAGCUCCUCUACCGCGUUGCCAGGCACCAGCAGCUGCUAGCGCGAGCCGAGUUGCUGGCGGUGCAGCAGGCGUACCGCGUCAUGUACCCCAAGCGGCACAGCACCUCUGCCGAGUCCUUUAGCCCCAUUAAGAGCGACGGCGCCGACCUCCCAAAUCAUGUCUUCGGCGAUGCUGGCAAGGACGGUGCCGAAAACGCGGCGAUUCGCGACGAGGCAAGCGGCGCGACGGGUGGCGCAUCCAUGGGCGGGUCGCCUACGUCGGGGCCUGCCAUUGGUGCCACGACUGCCGAUGGCACCGAUGCCCCUCAGGUGCACGUGCGAUCGGCUGUGAACACGGUCCUGAUCGGCACGGUGCGGGAUGUGCAGGAGGGCUUCCUUGGCGCGACCCGCAUUCUGCAGUACGUUCUGGCAGUGCGGAACACCUCUGCGGAGUCGUCGGGCUGUGCAUCUGCAGACGCGAUGGGGAGCCACGUGGACGCCAGCAACGGAGAGGAAGAAGGCGCAGGCGUGGACGAGGACCUGAUCGUUGUGCGCUGUGUCGGCGACCUCGUCCCUGUCGCGCUGCUGAAGCAGCAGGUUCGUUUGGGCUCCACCAUUUUCGUUGCCGGGUCGCUGCGGCUGAAUCGCAACGUUGACACGGUGUCGCGACGGUCGCACGCGUACCCGUAUGUGCAGGUGGUGCCGCCCCUUGGCUGCGUGCGUGUCUUGGAGGCGUAGCACGGCGUUCUUUAUCGACGUGUUUGAGGAUGUAUGUGCCGCCUCUCCCCCCUCCCCCUCUGUCGAAGUUCUUCUCUCACGACCCUCUCCGCCCUCUCUUCUUUUCGACUUCGAUUCCCUGUUGUUCUGCUGCUGCUCGUGCUCGUGCUGUGUCGUGUGGAUACCGGUCUUGAUGGGGACAGCUGUCGCUGAGUGCACUCCAAUGGAACAGGUGUGUUCGCGCCCACUUCCGUCGUGCAAGCGUUCUCCUCCUCUUCCCCCCUCCCUGUCGAUGGUGACGUGCGAGCGUCUGUGCUCACGUUGGUUGCGCAUGUGCAUGCGUCUGGCCUCGGUGCUCAUCGUGGCGGCGUUGAUCAGUUGUGAGGGUAGCCCCGCUAAGGCUCGAAUGAUAAGAAAGCUCUGCAUAGGAAGGCAUGCCGGACGGCACACGAGCACGCGCCAAGUUCGUGAAGAGGGAGCAGGCGCCGGCCUCGGCGGUGCCGUGUCUUCUCGUCUCUCUCUCUUGAAUACCCCCUCCCCCCUACACACACGCGCGCACAUAUAUAUAUAUAUAUAUGGUCGGAAUACUGUUUCACACGUAAAGGUCGAGGAGAGAUCGUUGCCGUGGUGCUUAAAGCCACGCAUGCGCAAG